Molecule: ribosomal RNA, 424 nt
Filed under: uncultured bacterium
Lineage: Bacteria
Description: bacterial SSU rRNA
Rfam family: Bacterial small subunit ribosomal RNA
Source: RNAcentral
GACGAACGCUGGCGGCGUGCUUAACACAUGCAAGUCGAACGGAAAGGCCCUGCUUGCAGGGUACUCGAGUGGCGAACGGGUGAGUAACACGUGGGUGAUCUGCCCUGCACUUCGGGAUAAGCCUGGGAAACUGGGUCUAAUACCGGAUAGGAGCCAUUUUUAGUGUGAUGGUUGGAAAGUUUUUUCGGUGUAGGAUGAGCUCGCGGCCUAUCAGCUUGUUGGUGGGGUAAUGGCCUACCAAGGCGGCGACGGGUAGCCGGCCUGAGAGGGUGGACGGCCACAUUGGGACUGAGAUACGGCCCAGACUCCUACGGGAGGCAGCAGUGGGGAAUAUUGCACAAUGGGCGCAAGCCUGAUGCAGCGACGCCGCGUGGGGGAUGACGGCCUUCGGGUUGUAAACUCCUUUCGCUAGGGACGAAGCUUU